RNAcentral lists this ribosomal RNA (1598 nucleotides) under Acinetobacter baumannii. RNAcentral describes it as "partial 23S ribosomal RNA". It matches the Rfam family "Bacterial large subunit ribosomal RNA", at positions 653 to 2268 of the family's 2925-position model. Lineage: Bacteria; Pseudomonadati; Pseudomonadota; Gammaproteobacteria; Moraxellales; Moraxellaceae. The record is from RNAcentral.
AUGCUGGAGGUAUCAGAAGUGCGAAUGCUGACGUGAGUAACGACAAAACGGGUGAAAAACCCGUUCGCCGAAAGACCAAGGGUUCCAGUCCAACGUUAAUCGGGGCUGGGUGAGUCGACCCCUAAGGCGAGGCCGAAAGGCGUAGUCGAUAAGCCUGGUGAUAGCUGGUUCUCCCCGAAAGCUAUUUAGGUAGCGCCUCGGACGAAUACCAUAGGGGGUAGAGCACUGUUUCGGCUAGGGGGUCAUCCCGACUUACCAAACCGAUGCAAACUCCGAAUACCUAUGAGUACUAUCCGGGAGACAGACUGCGGGUGCUAACGUCCGUAGUCAAGAGGAAAACAAUCCAGACCGCCAGCUAAGGCCCCAAAAUCAUAGUUAAGUGGGAAACGAUGUGGGAAGGCAUAGACAGCUAGGAGGUUGGCUUAGAAGCAGCCACCCUUUAAAGAAAGCGUAAUAGCUCACUAGUCGAGUCGGCCUGCGCGGAAGAUGUAACGGGGCUAAAACUAUGUGCCGAAGCUGCGGAUUUGACAUUAGUCAAGUGGUAGGGGAGCGUUCUGUAAGCCGAUGAAGGUGUAUUGAGAAGUAUGCUGGAGGUAUCAGAAGUGCGAAUGCUGACGUGAGUAACGACAAAACGGGUGAAAAACCCGUUCGCCGAAAGACCAAGGGUUCCAGUCCAACGUUAAUCGGGGCUGGGUGAGUCGACCCCUAAGGCGAGGCCGAAAGGCGUAGUCGAUGGGAAAAUGGUUAAUAUUCCAUUACUUCUGUGUAAUGCGAUGAGAGGACGGAGAAGGCUAAAUCAGCCUGGCGUUGGUUGUCCAGGUGAAAGGAUGUAGGCAUGUAUCUUAGGCAAAUCCGGGGUACUCUAUGCUGAGAUCUGAUAGCAAGCUGUACUUGUACAGCGAAGUGGUUGAUGCCAUGCUUCCAGGAAAAGUCUCUAAGCUUCAGUUACACAGGAAUCGUACCCGAAACCGACACAGGUGGUCAGGUCGAGUAGACCAAGGCGCUUGAGAGAACUCUGCUGAAGGAACUAGGCAAAAUGGUACCGUAACUUCGGGAGAAGGUACGCUGUUGUUGGUGAUGGAACUCGCUUCCUGAGCUGACGACAGCCGCAGAAACCAGGCCGCUGCAACUGUUUAUUAAAAACAUAGCACUCUGCAAACACGAAAGUGGACGUAUAGGGUGUGAUGCCUGCCCGGUGCUGGAAGGUUAAUUGAUGGGGUUAGCGUAAGCGAAGCUCUUGAUCGAAGCCCCAGUAAACGGCGGCCGUAACUAUAACGGUCCUAAGGUAGCGAAAUUCCUUGUCGGGUAAGUUCCGACCUGCACGAAUGGCAUAAUGAUGGCGGCGCUGUCUCCAGCAGAGGCUCAGUGAAAUCGAAAUCGCUGUGAAGAUGCAGUGUACCCGCGGCUAGACGGAAAGACCCCGUGAACCUUUACUGCAGCUUGACACUGAACUUUGACCUUACUUGUGUAGGAUAGGUGGGAGGCUUUGAAGCUGGAACGCUAGUUCCAGUGGAGCCGUCCUUGAAAUACCACCCUGGUAAUGUUGAGGUUCUAACUCUGUCCCGUGAUCCGGGACGAGGACCGUGUCUGGUGGGUAG